Molecule: ribosomal RNA, 450 nt
Filed under: uncultured bacterium
Lineage: Bacteria
Description: bacterial SSU rRNA
Rfam family: Bacterial small subunit ribosomal RNA
Source: RNAcentral
AGAGUUUGAUCCUGGCUCAGAGCGAACGCUGGCGGCAGGCCUAAUACAUGCAAGUCGAACGGUCUCUUCGGAGGCAGUGGCGGACGGUGAGUAACGCGUGGGAACGUGCCCUUUGGUACGGAACAACUGAGGGAAACUUCAGCUAAUACCGUAUGUGCCCUUCGGGGGAAAGAUUUAUCGCCAUUGGAGCGGCCCGCGUUGGAUUAGCUAGUUGGUGGGUAAUGGCCCACCAAGGCGACGAUCCAUAGCUGGUCUGAGAGGAUGAUCAGCCACACUGGGACUGAGACACGGCCCAGACUCCUACGGGAGGCAGCAGUAGGGAAUCUUGCGCAAUGGGCGAAAGCCUGACGCAGCCAUGCCGCGUGAAUGAUGAAGGUCUUAGGAUUGUAAAAUUCUUCACCGGGGACGAUAAUGACGGUACCCGGAGAAGAAGCCCCGGCUAACUUCGUG